RNAcentral lists this small RNA (838 nucleotides) under Arabidopsis thaliana (thale cress). RNAcentral's name for it is "ATSL092100". The record is from RNAcentral. Lineage: Eukaryota; Viridiplantae; Streptophyta; Magnoliopsida; Brassicales; Brassicaceae.
AAUAUCAACUCCCCCAGACUUAGCUUUUGCUUGCCCUCAAGCAAAACACAAAAGCCGACACUACAAGAAAACAGGUAAACGACGACUACAAUCAGCGACAACAAACAAAGUCGUAACAUUAUACGACUAUUUGGCGACGGAUUUACGACUCGCAUGCGACAACACGAAAAAUUAUAGUUACAUAGUCGUUGUUUUACGUCUAUCGUAUGCAGUCGGCAAAGAGUCGGCAAGUAACGACUAUUUGACGAUUAUAUUAUUGAAGGGAUAAUGUUGUCGUUGCUUAGUCGCUAAUUAACGACUAUUCUACCGUCUAUUUUAUUUAGUCGCUAAUUUGGCGACUACAGGACGACUAGACGUCUUAGUCGGCCUGUAGUCGUAGAAACGUUGCACCGUAGUCGUAUAUAGUAGAUGGAAGACGUGUUUCGCAUUGGUAAGUAGGUACACCUAAUUAUUUAGUUGUAGUCGUAAAUUAGUCACAAAAAUUGGCCUAUAUAAUAAAUGUUCACGCAACUCUUCUUUCACCAACAAAUCAAAACAACAACAACAUCAAAGAGAAAAAAAAAAUAGUUACUUUAUUGUAUAAUGGCGGGAAACUACAAUUAUGGCGGUACUGGCGGUUUCUAUCGAGAUUGGGUGUACAAGAGAUUUGAUGAAGUGACGGGGAAUUUGUCAGCCGAAUACGUCGCAGGAGUUGAGCAAUUCAUGACAUUCGCUAAUAGUCAGCCAAUAGUACAGAGUAGUCGAGGUAAAUUUCAUUGUCCUUGUAGUGUAUGCAAGAAUGAAAAACACAUCAUCUCGGGUAGAAGAGUUAGUAGUCAUUUGUUUAGUCAUGGAUUUA